CCAGCCUUGAUAUGAUGGGAUGGAAUUACUUAGAUGUCAAUCCCUAUGUGAAAACAUCAGCAAGUUGAUCUUCUGAAGUGACGAAAGGAGUGCAGAUCAAGCCUUCUUCAAGUUUCUCUUUGAUGAAGUGUCUAUCAAUUUCAAUGUGUUGGGUCCUAUUGUGCUAAACUGGAUUCUGGGUUAAACUGAUUGCAGAUUUAUUGUCACAGUAAAGAUGCAUAGGUCCCUAAUGAGUCACUCCUAAAUCAGCAAGUAAUACUUUGAGACAAAUGAGUUCACAGACACCUUGUGUCAUUGCUCUGUACUUGGCUUCUGCA
Molecule: long non-coding RNA, 317 nt
Organism: Telopea speciosissima
Lineage: Eukaryota; Viridiplantae; Streptophyta; Magnoliopsida; Proteales; Proteaceae
Exons: 3
Source: RefSeq, a predicted model, not a curated record